UACGGAGGGUGCGAGCGUUGUCCGGAAUCACUGGGCGUAAAGCGCGCGUAGGCGGCCCGGUAAGUCCGCUGUAAAAGUCCAGGGCUCAACCCUGGAAAGCCGGUGGAUACUGUCGGGCUUGAGCACGGUAGAGGCAGAUGGAAUUCCCGGUGUAGCGGUGGAAUGCGUAGAGAUCGGGAAGAACAUCGGUGGCGAAGGCGGUCUGCUGGGCCGUUGCUGACGCUGAGGCGCGACAGCGUGGGGAGCAAACAGG
This 253-nucleotide ribosomal RNA is filed under the name uncultured bacterium. RNAcentral describes it as "partial 16S ribosomal RNA". It matches the Rfam family "Bacterial small subunit ribosomal RNA", at positions 524 to 776 of the family's 1533-position model. The record is from RNAcentral.